UACGUAGGGCGCAAGCGUUGUCCGGAAUUAUUGGGCGUAAAGAGCUCGUAGGCGGUUUGUCGCUUCUGCUGUGAAAACCUAAGGCUUAACCUUGGGCUUGCAGUGGGUACGGGCAGACUAGAGUGCGGUAGGGGUGACUGGAAUUCCUGGUGUAGCGGUGGAAUGCGCAGAUAUCAGGAGGAACACCGAUGGCGAAGGCAGGUCACUGGGCCGCAACUGACGCUGAGGAGCGAAAGCAUGGGGAGCGAACAGG
RNAcentral lists this ribosomal RNA (253 nucleotides) under uncultured bacterium. RNAcentral's name for it is "partial 16S ribosomal RNA". It matches the Rfam family "Bacterial small subunit ribosomal RNA", at positions 524 to 776 of the family's 1533-position model. The record is from RNAcentral.